This 373-nucleotide unclassified non-coding RNA is filed under the name uncultured Bacteroidia bacterium. Its description in RNAcentral is "contains 16S-23S intergenic spacer region". The record is from RNAcentral. Lineage: Bacteria; Pseudomonadati; Bacteroidota; Bacteroidia.
UCCGGUUUGUCACCGGCGGUCUCCUUAGAGUUCCCACCAUUACGUGCUGGCAACUAAGGACAAGGGUUGCGCUCGUUGCGGGACUUAACCCAACAUCUCACGGCACGAGCUGACGACAGCCAUGCAGCACCUUGCUUUGUGUCCCGAAGGAAAGGUCCAUCUCUGAACCGGUCACGCGCAUUCUAGCCUAGGUAAGGUUCCUCGCGUAUCAUCGAAUUAAACCACAUGCUCCACCGCUUGUGCGGGCCCCCGUCAAUUCCUUUGAGUUUCACCCUUGCGGGCGUACUCCCCAGGUGGAUGACUUAACGCUUUCGCUUGGACGCUAACGGUAUAUCGCUAACAUCGAGUCAUCAUCGUUUACAGCGUGGACUAC